UUAAAAAGAACAAAAAAUUUUCUUUUUUUUCUAAAUCGUUUUUUGUUGAUUUGGUUUAAUUUUUUAAUCACAAAUUAUCUUAUCAUCUUAUUAUUUUAACUAUUUUUAUUUAAUUAUUGUGAUAAUUAACUCGUUUACUCAUUCAGGUAUUUAUAGAAAUAUAGAAAUGGUUGUUUGUGUUUGAUGAUCUUUCGUAUCUCUUGAAAUGAUAUUUGGUUUAGGCCUAAGGUGAACAGGCGAUUGAUUGGUUUUUACCUGUGGAUUAUAAUUUGUUUAAUUGUAAUUUAAUUGCAUAUUGACUUUCGUUUAUGGGAGGUAUUGAUUCACUUUGAUAAUGAUUCUGCAGUUAAUCGUUAAUGGCACCUUAAUAAAUUUCCUGGUUAGAGGCAAACGUUUCAAUGGAGAAAGAACAAAUAAUUAACAGAACAUGUUAAAAAGUGGUAUCAUCGAUGUUUUGGUCGAUCGUUUAUUUAAUUACAUCAGAGUAUAGAUGGUGAUAGAAGGUAAAAAGUUUACAGUUUAGCAGUCGAAGUGUUCAAAAUACACUUGGUCGAGAUGGUGAACAUUAGAGUACUAGAGUAUAUUGGUUUACAAAAACAAAGGAAGAUUAGGAAUCCAUUACCUGAAGAAAACCCGGAGAGCAAUUAAAUAGGGAUGGAUUAGAAUACAAAUGAAGUCCAAUGACCGAAAAAGGGAACAAAUUGAUUAUCACAAUUGGACAAUUAAUUCUUCCCUUCGAGGCCAAUGCUUUCCUCCUGAUUAGUUACUCACUUUGAUCAACAAUCAUAUGUCCAUUAAUUUUUCAUCGACAAAUUGUUGUCAACAGUUACCUAAGACUUUCCUACUUGAUUAUAGUUUAAAUUAAGCAUGAAAAUGUUGGA
Panonychus citri (citrus red mite) is the source of this 881-nucleotide long non-coding RNA. RefSeq lists it as uncharacterized. The transcript is spliced from 3 exons. Lineage: Eukaryota; Metazoa; Arthropoda; Arachnida; Trombidiformes; Tetranychidae. The record is from RefSeq and is a predicted model, not a curated record.